AUCUUCCGCAAUGGGCGAAGGCCUGACGGAGCAACGCCGCGUGAGUGAUGCAGGGUUUCGGCUCGUAAAACUCUGUUAUUAGGGAAGAACAAAUGUGUAAGUAACUGUGCCCAUCUUGACGGUACCUAAUCAGAAAGCCACGACUAACUACGUGCCAGCAGCCGCGGUAAUACGUAGUUGUCAAGCGUUAUCCGGAAUUAUUGGUCGUAAAGCGCGCGUAGGCGGUUUCUUAAGUCUGAUGUGAAAGCCCACGGCUCAACCGUGGAGGGUCAUUGGAAACUGGGAAACUUGAGUGCAGAAGAGGAAAGUGGAAUUCCAUGUGUAGCGGUGAAAUGCGCAGAGAUAUGGAGGAACACCAGUGGCGAAGGCGACUUUCUGGUCUGUAACUGACGCUGAUGUGCGAAAGCGUGGGGAUCAAACA
RNAcentral lists this ribosomal RNA (421 nucleotides) under uncultured bacterium. RNAcentral's name for it is "bacterial SSU rRNA". It matches the Rfam family "Bacterial small subunit ribosomal RNA", at positions 361 to 774 of the family's 1533-position model. The record is from RNAcentral.